RNAcentral lists this long non-coding RNA (408 nucleotides) under Prunus persica (peach). RNAcentral describes it as "long non-coding RNA (PPER_LNC002534)". The record is from RNAcentral. Lineage: Eukaryota; Viridiplantae; Streptophyta; Magnoliopsida; Rosales; Rosaceae.
GAUAUGCUCCGUGCAUUUAAUAACCCUUAAAGAUAAUAUGUUGGUCUCCGUAAUUGUGUAAUAAGAGGGGGCACAAUUGAAUCUGUAAAUAUGGAGAAAACCCAACAUUUCUUGUUUCUGCCAGAAACAGUGUGUCAUACAAAGUAGGUAUAUUCCCUUUUAUUCCGAACACCCAAGUAUAAAUUUCAGUAUUAACAUCUUUUGGGGUUCGUACUGUGGGUUUGUUCUUUCAUGUUCAUUCUCAUCUAUAAUGGAAUUACCUCAUUCCAUUUUGGCCAAUAAUAUUGUCGACAUUUAAUAAUUGAACGUGGUUCCAAUCAACACAGCCCAUUGAUGAUUUGAGUAGCUACUCCAAAACCAAAAAUUGUCAUUCAUCAAUUCAUGAUCAAAAAUUGUCAUUCAUCAAUU